RNAcentral lists this ribosomal RNA (508 nucleotides) under uncultured bacterium. RNAcentral's name for it is "bacterial SSU rRNA". It matches the Rfam family "Bacterial small subunit ribosomal RNA", at positions 153 to 653 of the family's 1533-position model. The record is from RNAcentral.
GAAAUCCGGAUUAAUACCGCAUGUGCUCUACGGAGGAAAGCGGGCCUCUAUUUAUAAGCUCGCGCUUUGAGAUAAGCCUAUGUCGGAUUAGCUUAUUGGUAGGGUAACGGCCUACCAAGGCGACGAUCCGUAGCUGGUUUGAGAGGAUGAUCAGCCACACUGGGACUGAGACACGGCCCAGACUCCUACGGGAGGCAGCAGUGGGGAAUAUUGGACAAUGGGCGCAAGCCUGAUCCAGCAAUGCCGCGUGUGUGAAGAAGGCCUGCGGGUUGUAAAGCACUUUUAUUGGGAAAGAAAAACUUAGGGUUAGUACCCUUGGGUCUUGACGGUACCCAAAGAAUAAGCACCGGCUAACUCAGUGCCAGCAGCCGCGGUAAUACUGAGGGUGCAAGCGUUAAUCGGAAUUACUGGGCGUAAAGCGAGUGUAGGCGGCUUCGUAAGUCGGAUGUGAAAGCCCUGGGCUUAACCUGGGNAAUGGCAUUCGAUACUGCGCGGCUAGAGUCUGAUA